GCGCACCAGGCGCGAAACUUCACACUGUGCGAAAGCACGAUGAGGGAAUCCCAAGUGCUUGCACGUAAGUGUAAGCUGUUUCUCUGUUUAAAACGCAGAGAGAGUAAGGGCUGGGUAAGACGGGUGCCAGCCGCCGCGGUAAUACCUGCAGCCCAAGUGGUGACCGUUAUUAUUGGGCCUAAAACGUCCGUAGCCGGUUUAAUAAAUGCCUGGGUAAAUCGUGUAGCUUAACUAUACGAAUUCCGGGUAGACUGUUAAACUCGAGACCGGGAGAAGUUAGAGGUACUCCUGGGGUAGAGGUGAAAUUCUGUAAUCCUAGGGGGACCACCAGUGGCGAAGGCGUCUAACUAGAACGGGUCUGACGGUGAGGGACGAAGCCCUGGGGCGCAAACGGGGAUUAGAUACCCGCGUAGU
This 414-nucleotide ribosomal RNA is filed under the name uncultured microorganism. Its description in RNAcentral is "bacterial SSU rRNA". It matches the Rfam family "Archaeal small subunit ribosomal RNA", at positions 330 to 745 of the family's 1478-position model. The record is from RNAcentral.